This 490-nucleotide ribosomal RNA is filed under the name uncultured bacterium. RNAcentral's name for it is "partial 16S ribosomal RNA". It matches the Rfam family "Bacterial small subunit ribosomal RNA", at positions 356 to 835 of the family's 1533-position model. The record is from RNAcentral.
UGGGAAUCUUCCGCAAUGGACGAAAGUCUGACGGAGCAACGCCGCGUGUAUGAUGAAGGUCUUCGGAUUGUAAAGUACUGUCAUUGGGGAAGAACGGUUUUCUUGAAAAGAUUGAGAAGACAUGACGGUACCCAAGGAGGAAGCCCCGGCUAACUACGUGCCAGCAGCCGCGGUAAUACGUAGGGGGCAAGCGUUGUCCGGAAAUUAUUGGGCGUAAAGGGCGCGUAGGCGGGCCUUUAAGUCCGGUGUGAAAGAUCAGGGCUCAACCCUGAGAGUGCAUCGGAAACUGGAGGCCUUGAGGACAGGAGAGGAAAGUGGAAUUCCACGUGUAGCGGUGAAAUGCGUAGAUAUGUGGAGGAACACCAGUGGCGAAGGCGACUUUCUGGACUGUAACUGACGCUGAGGCGCGAAAGCGUGGGGAGCAAAACAGGAUUAGAUACCCUGGUAGUCCACGCCGUAAACGAUGAGUGCUAGGUGUAGAGGGUAUCGA